UACGUAGGGGGCUAGCGUUGUCCGGAAUCAUUGGGCGUAAAGCGCGUGUAGGCGGCCCGGUAAGUCCGCUCUGAAAGUCGGGGGCUCAACCCUCGGAUGCGGGUGGAUACUGUCGGGCUUGAGUGCGGAAGAGGCGAGUGGAAUUCCUGGUGUAGCGGUGAAAUGCGCAGAUAUCAGGAGGAACACCAAUUGCGAAGGCAGCUCGCUGGGACGUUACUGACGCUGAGGAGCGAAAGCGUGGGGAGCGAACAGG
Molecule: ribosomal RNA, 253 nt
Filed under: uncultured bacterium
Lineage: Bacteria
Description: partial 16S ribosomal RNA
Rfam family: Bacterial small subunit ribosomal RNA
Source: RNAcentral